AUCAAAUUUCUAAGGGCAAAUGGUGGAUGCCUUGGCAUCUGGAGCCGAUGAAGGACGUAGUAAUCUGCGAUAAGCCUCGGGGAGUCGAUAAACGGGCGUUGAUUCGAGGAUUUCCGAAUGGGGGAACCCGGCCGCAUUGUGUGUGGUCACUCCGGUCUGAAUAUAUAGGGCUGUGAGGGGGAACGUGGGGAAGUGAAACAUCUCAGUACCCACAGGAAGAGAAAACAAUAGUGAUUCCGUUAGUAGUGGCGAGCGAACGCGGAUGGGGCUAAACCGGUUGUGUGUGAUACCAGGUAGGGGUUGCAUGAUCGGGGUUGUGGGACAUGCGUGGUCGUUCUAUCUGGCGGCUGGCGUUUGCGCAUUGUGUAGGUGAACAGGUUUGAAUGCCUGACCGUAGGGGGUGCGAGUCCCGUAGCUGAAACAUGGUGUGUGCGUUUGUGUGUAUCCCAAGUAGCGCGGAGCCCGUGAAACUCUGUGUGAAUCUGUCGGGACCACCCGAUAAGCCUAAAUACUUCCAGGUGACCGAUAGCGGACGAGUACCGUGAGGGAAAGGUGAAAAGUACCCCGGGAGGGGAGUGAAAUAGUACCUGAAACCAUUUGCUUACAAUCCGUCGGAGCCUUUUGGGGUGACGGCGUGCCUUUUGAAGAAUGAGCCUGCGAGUUAGUGAUGUGUGGCGAGGUUAACCCGUGUGGGGUAGCCGUAGCGAAAGCGAGUCUGAAGAGGGCGUUGAGUCGCAUGUUCUAGACCCGAAGCGAAGUGAUCUAUCCAUGGCCAGGUUGAAGCGAGGGUAAAGCCUUGUGGAGGACCGAACCCACCUAGGUUGAAAACUGGGGGGAUGAGCUGUGGUUAGGGGUGAAAGGCCAAUCAAACUUCGUGAUAGCUGGUUCUCUCCGAAAUGCAUUUAGGUGCAGCGUUGCGUGUUUCUUGCUGGAGGUAGAGCUACUGGAUGGCCGAUGGGCCCGACAAGGUUACUGACGUCAGCCAAACUCCGAAUGCCGGUAAGUGAGAGCGUAGCAGUGAGACGGUGGGGGAUAAGCUUCAUCGUCGAGAGGGAAACAACCCAGACCACCAAUUAAGGUCCCUAAGCGUGUGCUAAGUGGAAAAGGAUGUGGAGUUGCAGUGACAACCAGGAGGUUGGCUUAGAAGCAGCCAUCCUUGAAAGAGUGCGUAAUAGCUCACUGGUCAAGUGAUUCCGCGCCGACAAUGUAACGGGGCUCAAGCACACCACCGAAAUUGUGGAAUUCAAUUUUUUGUUGGAUUGGUAGGAGAGCGUCGCGUGUUGGGUGAAGCGGUAGUGUGAACUGAUCGUGGACGGCACGCGAGUGAGAAUGCAGGCAUGAGUAGCGAAAGACGGGUGAGAAACCCGUCCUCCGAAUGACUAAGGGUUCCAGGGUCAAGCUAAUCUUCCCUGGGUUAGUCGGGUCCUAAGGCGAGGCCGACAGGCGUAGUCGAUGGUGAACGGGUUGAUAUUCCCGUACCGAUGGUGUGACCGCCCAAUGCGAGCGGGUGAUGCUAAGCAAGUGAAGUCUUCUUGUGGCCUUCGGGUUGCUUGGGGGUGGAGGUUGUGAACCGAAUCCGUGAGUGUAGCGUAUUAACAGGUGUGACGCAGGAAGGUAGCCGAGCCGGGUGAAUGGUUGUAUCCGGGCAAGGAUGUAGGGCCAGUGAUAGGCAAAUCCGUCACUGAAUAGCCUGAGAUCUGAUGCGGAAGUCUCUUUUGGGACGUAGUCGGUGAUCCUAUGCUGCCAAGAAAAGCAUCGGCGUGAGGUUGCAGUGUUGCCCGUACCCAUAACCGACACAGGUGGUCAGGUAGAGAAUACUAAGGAGAUCGAGAGAAUCGUGGUGAAGGAACUCGGCAAAAUGCCCCCGUAACUUCGGGAGAAGGGGGGCCAUCCACUUAUACGGAUUUACUCCGGACAGGGUGUGGUGGCCGCAGAGACCAGUGGGACUCGACUGUUUAUCAAAAACACAGGUCCGUGCGAAGUCGCAAGACGAUGUAUACGGACUGACGCCUGCCCGGUGCUGGAAGGUUAAGAGGAAGGGUUAGCUUUGGCGAAGCCUAGAAUUUAAGCCCCAGUAAACGGCGGUGGUAACUAUAACCAUCCUAAGGUAGCGAAAUUCCUUGUCGGGUAAGUUCCGACCUGCACGAAUGGCGUAACGAAUUCCCAGCUGUCUCCACCGCGAACUCGGCGAAAUUGCAGUACGAGUAAAGAUGCUCGUUACGCGCAGCAGGACGAAAAGACCCCGUGACCUUUACUAUAGCUUGGUAUUGGUGAUUGAAAUGGCUUGUGUAGGAUAGGUGGGAGACUGUGAAGCAUUGACGCUAGUUGGUGUGGAGUCGUUGUUGAAAUACCACUCUGGUUAUUUUAGUUAUCUAACUUCGGACCGUGAUCCGGUUCAGGGACAGUGCCUGGUGGGUAGUUUAACUGGGGCGGUUGCCUCCUAAAGAGUAACGGAGGCGCCCAAAGGUUCCCUCAGCCUGGUUGGUAAUCAGGUGGUGAGUGUAAGUGCACAAGGGAGCUUGACUGUGACACUGACAGGUGGAGCAGGGACGAAAGUCGGGACUAGUGAUCCGGCAGUGGCUUGUGGAAGCGCUGUCGCUCAACGGAUAAAAGGUACCUCGGGGAUAACAGGCUGAUCUUGCCCAAGAGUCCAUAUCGACGGCAUGGUUUGGCACCUCGAUGUCGGCUCGUCGCAUCCUGGGGCUGGAGUAGGUCCCAAGGGUUGGGCUGUUCGCCCAUUAAAGCGGUACGCGAGCUGGGUUCAGAACGUCGUGAGACAGUUCGGUCUCUAUCCGCUGCGCGCGUGGGAAGUUUGAGGAGAUCUUUCUUUAGUACGAGAGGACCGAGAAGGACGAACCUCUGGUGUGUCAGUUGUUCUGCCAAGGGCAUUGCUGAUUUGCUACGUUCGGGAUGGAUAACCGCUGAAAGCAUCUAAGCGGGAAGCCGGCUUCGAGAUGAGACUUCCUUCCCUAUUUUGGGGUGAGGUUCCCAGUAGAUGACUGGGUUGAUAGGCCGGGUGUGGAAGCACUGUAAGGUGUGGAGCUGACCGGUACUAAUAGACCGAAGAUUUGAU
This 3073-nucleotide ribosomal RNA is filed under the name Gulosibacter molinativorax. Its description in RNAcentral is "23S ribosomal RNA". It matches the Rfam family "Bacterial large subunit ribosomal RNA". Lineage: Bacteria; Bacillati; Actinomycetota; Actinomycetes; Micrococcales; Microbacteriaceae. The record is from RNAcentral.